This 18-nucleotide small nuclear RNA is filed under the name Arabidopsis thaliana (thale cress). RNAcentral describes it as "snRNA_11717". Lineage: Eukaryota; Viridiplantae; Streptophyta; Magnoliopsida; Brassicales; Brassicaceae. The record is from RNAcentral.
CCGGUUAAAAUUCCGGAA